AAUGAACGCUGGCGGCGCGCCUAAUACAUGCAAGUCGAGCGAGAAGACGUAGCAAUACGUUUGUAAAGCGGCGAACGGGUGAGGAAUACAUGGGUAACCUACCCUCGAGUGGGGAAUAACUAGCCGAAAGGUUAGCUAAUACCGCGUACGCUCCUUGGACUUCGGUUCAGGGAGGAAAGCGAUACCGUGGGUAUCGCGCUCUUGGUUGGGCUCAUGUCCUAUCAGCUUGUUGGUGAGGAACGGCUCACCAAGGCUUCGACGGGUAGCUGGUCUGAGAGGACGAUCAGCCACACUGGCACUGCGACACGGGCCAGACUCCUACGGGAGGCAGCAGUAAGGAAUAUUGCGCAAUGGGCGAAAGCCUGACGCAGCGACGCCGCGUGGGGGAUGAAGGUCUUCGGAUUGUAAACCCCUUUCGGGAGGGAAGAUGGAACGAGCAAUCGUUCGGACGGUACCUCCAGAAGCAGCCACGGCUAACUUCGUGCCAGCCGCCGCUGU
Molecule: ribosomal RNA, 498 nt
Filed under: uncultured bacterium
Lineage: Bacteria
Description: bacterial SSU rRNA
Rfam family: Bacterial small subunit ribosomal RNA
Source: RNAcentral